Molecule: long non-coding RNA, 1728 nt
Filed under: Homo sapiens (human)
Lineage: Eukaryota; Metazoa; Chordata; Mammalia; Primates; Hominidae
Description: HSALNT0030105
Source: RNAcentral
GCCUGAUCCUUCCUCUGGAAGCUUCAUCCCAGAGGGGCACCCGCCUAUAUGAGGUAUCUCUUGGCCCCUACUGGGAAGUGUCUCCCAGUUAGGCUACACGGGAGUCAGGGACCCACUUGAGGAGGCAGUUUGUCCAUUCUCAGAGCUCAAACACCAUCCUGGGAGAACCAUCGCAGUCUUCAGAGCUGUCAGACUCGGGCAUUUAAGUCUGUAGAAGUUGUCUGCUGCCUUUUGUUCAGCUAUGCCCUGACCACAGAGGUGGAGUCUAUAGAGGUGUUAGGCCUUGCUGAGAUGCGGUGGGCUCCACCCAGUUUGAGCUUCCUGGCUGCUUUGUUUACCUACUCAAGCCUCAGCAAUCGCAGACGUCCCUUCCCCAGCCAGGCUGCCACCUCGCAGUUCAAUCUCAGACUGCUGUGCUAGCAGUGGGGAAGGCUCCGUGGGCAUGGAAACUGCCGAGCCAGGCACAGUAGAGAAUCACCUUGUCUGCCGGUUGCUAAGACCUUUGGAAAAGUGCAGUAUUUGGGUGAGAGUGUCCUAUUUUUCCAGGUACAGUCUGUCACGUCUUCCCUUGGCUAGGAAAGGGAAAUCCCCCGACCCCUUACACUUUCCGGGUGAGGCAACGCCCCACUCUGCUUCAGCUCACCCUCCAUGGGCUGCACUCACCUUCCAACCAGUCUCAAUGAGAUGAACCAGGUACCUCAGUUGGAAAUGCAGAAAUCACCCGUCUUCUGCGUCAAUCACGCUGAGAACUGCAGACCAGAGCUGUUCCUAUUUGGCCAUCUUGGAACCGGUCUGAGUCUGUUUUAGCCAGAUCAAGUACUUGCAGACACUUGAAGAAGCAUCUUUCUUGUGAUCUCCUGGCUGGUACCCUGAAGUCCUGUUAUGCCAAUGGACCAGCAACCCUCGCAGGUGGCUAAGGAACAAGCAGGCCCGCUGUGUUUCAGUGGCUUUCAGAGAAGGUGGCGGGAAAUAGUCUCUUCUCAGCAGCAGCUGAAUCCCAGUGUUAGCAGACGGAGCCUUGUUUCUUGAAAGUACAUUCCCAGGGAUUCCCUUGAAGAAUGUGAGAGAUCAGCUGGAAUGAAACUGGAUGUUUUAGGGUCCUGAGGGAAAUGUAAAUCCAGCAGCUUAUUCUCAAGAUGUGGCUCCAGAACCAGCAGCACUGAUUCUUCUAAAGAGUUGAGAGUGCAUUUUAGCUGUGAUAUCUUUGUACUCUUAAGAAAUCCUCCUCAACAAGACAAAACUUGACCAAGAGCAUUCAGUUGUCUUCCAGAAGGCUCCCUUGAGGACUGGGACUCUUCCUGGAUGCACCCAAUUAAUCUAUUGAAACAAGGACUCGUGAUGGCAGCCCCUCACCUGACAAACUGGAUUUUCCCCAGAGAUCAUUUGUAAUGUUUUUCCUGAAUCUUAUUUGUGUUUCCCUAUUAGCAAUGUUAUGUAUUUCUAUAUCGCAAAUCCUAAGUGCCGCCUGUAGAACCUAACCUCCAUUUAUAGCAUGGAACACACAGCCCAUCACGUAUCCUUGCCCUGGCCUUCAGCCUCUGAAUAUUUUAAUAAAAAUCACUCUUUCCUCCUUAAGGACCAUGUUCUUUAAAAGCUUAACACAUAGUUCUUAAUAAUUGGUUGCUUUACUUGAUGUUUCUCUGUUUAUCUUGGCUGCCCAGAAGCUCAGACUUAAAUGUAAGAGUCUACUUACAGUAACAACCUUGUUGCGGAUACAAUUAAUUCUCC